This 253-nucleotide ribosomal RNA is filed under the name uncultured bacterium. Its description in RNAcentral is "partial 16S ribosomal RNA". It matches the Rfam family "Bacterial small subunit ribosomal RNA", at positions 524 to 776 of the family's 1533-position model. The record is from RNAcentral.
UCCGGAGGGUGCUAGCGUUGUUCGGAAUUACUGGGCGUAAAGGGCGCGUAGGCGGCCGUUUGCGUCGGAUGUGAAAGCCCGGGGCUCAACCUCGGAACGGCAUUCGAUACGGGACGGCUGGAGACCGGGAGAGGAGAGUGGAAUAGCCAGUGUAGAGGUGAAAUUCGUAGAUAUUGGCUGGAACACCGGUGGCGAAAGCGGCUCUCUGGCCCGGUUCUGACGCUGAGGCGCGAAAGCGUGGGGAGCAAACAGG